GACGAACGCUGGCGGCGUGCUUAACACAUGCAAGUCGAACGGAAAGGCCCUGCUUUUGUGGGGUGCUCGAGUGGCGAACGGGUGAGUAACACGUGAGUAACCUGCCCUUGACUUUGGGAUAACUUCAGGAAACUGGGGCUAAUACCGGAUAGGAGCUCCUGCUGCAUGGUGGGGGUUGGAAAGUUUCGGCGGUUGGGGAUGGACUCGCGGCUUAUCAGCUUGUUGGUGGGGUAGUGGCUUACCAAGGCUUUGACGGGUAGCCGGCCUGAGAGGGUGACCGGCCACAUUGGGCCUGAGAUACGGCCCAGACUCCUACGGGAGGCAGCAGCGGGGAAUAUUGCACAAUGGGCGGAAGCCUGAUGCAGCAACGCCGCGUGCGGGAUGACGGCCUUCGGGUUGUAAACCGCUUUCGCCUGUGACGAAGCGUGAGUGACGGUAAUGGGUAAAGAAGCACCGGCUAACUACGU
Molecule: ribosomal RNA, 467 nt
Filed under: uncultured bacterium
Lineage: Bacteria
Description: partial 16S ribosomal RNA
Rfam family: Bacterial small subunit ribosomal RNA
Source: RNAcentral